RNAcentral lists this ribosomal RNA (497 nucleotides) under uncultured bacterium. RNAcentral describes it as "partial 16S ribosomal RNA". It matches the Rfam family "Bacterial small subunit ribosomal RNA", at positions 28 to 507 of the family's 1533-position model. The record is from RNAcentral.
GAUGAACGCUGGCGGCGUGCCUAAUACAUGCAAGUCGAGCGAACAGACGAGGAGCUUGCUCCUCUGACGUUAGCGGCGGACGGGUGAGUAACACGUGGAUAACCUACCUAUAAGACUGGGAUCACUUCGGGAAACCGGAGCUAAUACCGGAUAAUAUAUUGAACCGCAUGGUUCAAUAGUGAAAGACGGUUUUGCUGUCACUUAUAGAUGGAUCCGCGCCGCAUUAGCUAGUUGGUAAGGUAACGGCUUACAAAGGCAACAAUGCGUAGCCGACCUGAGAGGGGGAUGGGCCACACGGGAAGUGAGACGGGGUCCAGACGCAUACGGGAGGAAGCAGAAGGGAAUCUUCCGCAAUGGGCGAAAGCCUGACGGAGAAACGCGGCGUGAGUGAUGAAGGUCUUCGGAUCGUAAAACUCGGUUAUGAGGGAAGAACAAAUGUGUAAGUAAAUAUGCACGUCUUGACGGUACCGAAUCAGAAAGCAACGGCUAACUACGUG